GGAGCACAGGUGAAGGCAAUUCAGCUGUGUGAUAGGAAGGGAUGGAGCCUGGCUGCACCUCUCUUAGGCCUCAUUGAAGGGCUGACUGCCCCUGGGGAAAGGUGUCUGGUUGGAGAUCCCUUGCUGGUGAUGCUUUCCCCUGUGAACCUGGAAUCUUCUAAUACAGGAGAUGUUGUGCACGCAGAAACAAGAGAGCUCUUGGGAGCACCUAAUUGAGUCAGAAAGGAACGGGAAGCAGUGAUGUAACGAAAAGCCAGUGCAGAAUGGAGCAAAAAGCAGCAGCUUCUACAGACCCAUUCCUUCCGUGCUGCAUGAGAUGCUCCUUCCUCACAAAUAAUCUGGGUGCUGCUGAAGGCUGGAAGCUGCAGAGCUGUUGUCUAGAAGAGCUCGUGGUACGUUUUCAGUUUGUGGUGACUGUUUCCAUAUCUCCCCAAAUAAAAGGGUUAUGAAGUACUGAGUGGAUACUCUGUUUUUUCUGUCUUCUAAAGGAUCUUACUUUUCUUUCUUGCAUGUGCGUGGAAGUGUUUACACCAGAGUACAAUCAAAAUAGCCAACUGCAAAGAUGUGUUGAAGUCAAGCUCACAGCUGGUUUUAUUCACAAUUACACCUUUUGCAACAAGAGAGAUGAUAUUUCUAGAAAAGGAGGAAUGUAUAUUGAAAGGAGAAGAGUUAGAAGGUAACUGGAGCCAAACAGUAGAAACCCACAAGAGCUGCACUGGUUCAGGCGUUGUGUGGUCAGUGGUCACCGACCACAAGAUAUGUAUUUUUCAUUCCUCUUUAUUGUAGCAGAAUUUGAACACGACUUAAGGAAAAAACUAAGGUUUCUUGGGGCUUUAGGUACAAAACCUUUGUGUGGUCUUUUUCUGUAAGACAAAAUGAAGAAGAAUUUAGAAUUAAAGUUCAAUUAAAAAUAAAUAAAC
This is a long non-coding RNA of Centrocercus urophasianus (Greater sage-grouse), 920 nucleotides long. RefSeq lists it as uncharacterized. The record is from RefSeq and is a predicted model, not a curated record. The transcript is spliced from 3 exons. NCBI's taxonomy places the organism in Eukaryota, Metazoa, Chordata, Aves, Galliformes, Phasianidae.